RNAcentral lists this ribosomal RNA (301 nucleotides) under uncultured bacterium. RNAcentral's name for it is "partial 16S ribosomal RNA". It matches the Rfam family "Bacterial small subunit ribosomal RNA", at positions 509 to 807 of the family's 1533-position model. The record is from RNAcentral.
CAGCCGCCACGGUAAUACGGAGGGUGCAAGCGUUAUCCGGAUUUAUUGGGUUUAAAGGGUCCGUAGGCGGACUUAUAAGUCAGUGGUGAAAGCCUGUCGCUUAACGAUAGAACUGCCAUUGAUACUGUAAGUCUUGAGUAUAUUUGAGGUAGCUGGAAUAAGUAGUGUAGCGGUGAAAUGCAUAGAUAUUACUUAGAACACCAAUUGCGAAGGCAGGUUACCAAGAUAUAACUGACGCUGAGGGACGAAAGCGUGGGUAGCGAACAGGAUUAGAUACCCGAGUAGUCCCUGUCUCUUAUAC